GUGGGGUAAUAUUGCACAAUGGGGGAAACCCUGAUGCAGCGACGCCGCGUGGAGGAAGAAGGUCUUCGGAUUGUAAACUCCUGUUGUUGAGGAAGAUAAUGACGGUACUCAACAAGGAAGUGACGGCUAACUACGUGCCAGCAGCCGCGGUAAAACGUAGGUCACAAGCGUUGUCCGGAAUUACUGGGUGUAAAGGGAGCGCAGGCGGGAGAACAAGUUGGAAGUGAAAUCCAUGGGCUCAACCCAUGAACUGCUUUCAAAACUGUUUUCUUGAGUAGUGCAGAGGUAGGCGGAAUUCCCGGUGUAGCGGUGGAAUGCGUAGAUAUCGGGAGGAACACCAGUGGCGAAGGCGGCCUACUGGGCACCAACUGACGCUGAGGCUCGAAAGUGUGGGUAGC
RNAcentral lists this ribosomal RNA (398 nucleotides) under uncultured bacterium. RNAcentral describes it as "bacterial SSU rRNA". It matches the Rfam family "Bacterial small subunit ribosomal RNA", at positions 353 to 769 of the family's 1533-position model. The record is from RNAcentral.